UGGGGAAUUUUGGACAAUGGGCGCAAGCCUGAUCCAGCCAUGCCGCGUGAGUGAAGAAGGCCUUCGGGUUGUAAAGCUCUUUCGGACGGGAAGAAAUGGCGGGCUCUAACAUAGCCUGUCGAUGACGGUACCGUAAGAAUAAGCACCGGCUAACUUCGUGCCAGCAGCCGCGGUAAUACGAAGGGUGCAAGCGUUACUCGGAAUUACUGGGCGUAAAGCGUGCGUAGGUGGUUGUUUAAGUCUGAUGUGAAAGCCCUGGGCUCAACCUGGGAAUGGCAUUGGAAACUGGGCAGCUAGAGUGCGGUAGAGGGUAGUGGAAUUCCCGGUGUAGCAGUGAAAUGCGUAGAGAUCGGGAGGAACAUCUGUGGCGAAGGCGACUGCCUGGACCAGCACUGACACUGAGGCACGAAAGCGUGGGGA
Molecule: ribosomal RNA, 420 nt
Filed under: uncultured bacterium
Lineage: Bacteria
Description: bacterial SSU rRNA
Rfam family: Bacterial small subunit ribosomal RNA
Source: RNAcentral